CUUAUACUCCCUCCGUCCCGAAUUACUCGUUGCAGAAAUGGAUAGAAAUUGUUGUAUCUAAAAGUAAAAACACGUCUAGAUACAUCUAUUUCUGCGACAAGUAAUUCCGGACGGAGGGAGUAUUUA
This is a non-coding RNA of Hordeum vulgare subsp. vulgare (domesticated barley), 126 nucleotides long. The record is from Rfam. Lineage: Eukaryota; Viridiplantae; Streptophyta; Magnoliopsida; Poales; Poaceae.